AUUGAACGCUGGCGGCAGGCCUAACACAUGCAAGUCGAGCGGAUGAAGGGAGCUUGCUCCUGGAUUCAGCGGCGGACGGGUGAGUAAUGCCUAGGAAUCUGCCUGGUAGUGGGGGAUAACGUCCGGAAACGGGCGCUAAUACUGCAUACGUCCUGAGGGAGAAAGUUGGGGAUCUUCGGACCUCACGCUAUCAGAUGAGCCUAGGUCGGGUUAGCUAGUUGGUGGGGUAAAGGCCUACCAAGGCGACGAUCCGUAACUGGUCUGAGAGGAUGAUCAGUCACACUGGAACUGAGACACGGUCCAGACUACUACGGGACGCAGCAGUGGGGAAUAGUGGACAAUGGGCGAAAGCCUGAUCCAGCCAUGCCGAGUGUGUGAAGAAGGUCUUCGGAGUGUAAAGCACUUUAAGUUGGGAGGAAGGGCAGUAAGUUAAUACCUUGCUGUUUUGACGUUACCAACAGAAUAAGCACCGGCUAACUUCGUG
This 484-nucleotide ribosomal RNA is filed under the name uncultured bacterium. RNAcentral's name for it is "partial 16S ribosomal RNA". It matches the Rfam family "Bacterial small subunit ribosomal RNA", at positions 30 to 507 of the family's 1533-position model. The record is from RNAcentral.